This 476-nucleotide ribosomal RNA is filed under the name uncultured organism. RNAcentral's name for it is "partial 16S ribosomal RNA". It matches the Rfam family "Bacterial small subunit ribosomal RNA", at positions 329 to 797 of the family's 1533-position model. The record is from RNAcentral.
ACGUACACUCCUGCGGGAGGCAGCAGUGGGGAAUAUUGCACAAUGGGCGCAAGCCUGAUGCAGCUAUGCCGCGUGUAUGAAGAAGGCCUUCGGGUUGUAAAGUACUUUCAGCGGGGAGGAAGGUGUUGAGGUUAAUAACCUCAGCAAUUGACGUUACCCGCAGAAGAAGCACCGGCUAACUCCGUGCCAGCAGCCGCGGUAAUACGGAGGGUGCAAGCGUUAAUCGGAAUUACUGGGCGUAAAGCGCACGCAGGCGGUCUGUCAAGUCGGAUGUGAAAUCCCCGGGCUCAACCUGGGAACUGCAUUCGAAACUGGCAGGCUAGAGUCUUGUAGAGGGGGGUAGAAUUCCAGGUGUAGCGGUGAAAUGCGUAGAGAUCUGGAGGAAUACCGGUGGCGAAGGCGGCCCCCUGGACAAAGACUGACGCUCAGGUGCGAAAGCGUGGGGAGCAAACAGGAUUAGAAACCCUUGUAGUCCC